UUUGUGGAGUUUGACAUGAAGCC
Molecule: non-coding RNA, 23 nt
Filed under: Cricetulus griseus (Chinese hamster)
Lineage: Eukaryota; Metazoa; Chordata; Mammalia; Rodentia; Cricetidae
Source: RNAcentral